GUCUACAGCCAUACCACCCUGAAUGCGCCCGAUCUCGUCUGAUCUCAGAAGGUAAGCAGGGUUGGGCCUGGUAAGUACUCGGAUGGGAAAAAUCACAGGGAGAAUUGGAAGACUGUUUUCA
This 121-nucleotide ribosomal RNA is filed under the name Oryctolagus cuniculus (rabbit). Lineage: Eukaryota; Metazoa; Chordata; Mammalia; Lagomorpha; Leporidae. The record is from RNAcentral.